ACACCUAGUAAAGAUCUUCAGCCAGUUA
This 28-nucleotide small RNA is filed under the name Bombyx mori (domestic silkworm). RNAcentral's name for it is "ovarian small RNA-11017". Lineage: Eukaryota; Metazoa; Arthropoda; Insecta; Lepidoptera; Bombycidae. The record is from RNAcentral.